Non-coding RNA from Drosophila melanogaster (fruit fly), 575 nucleotides. Lineage: Eukaryota; Metazoa; Arthropoda; Insecta; Diptera; Drosophilidae. The record is from Ensembl.
AGCUGGAAGUUAUUCCACGUGGAUUUGAAUACUUAGCAGACUUUAUUUUGCAGAAAGCCUUAGAUAAAUAUGAAUAAAUAUUCAUCGGUUGCAGUUCAAGCUAUUGCCGAUAACCCAAAACCGUGUCCAGAAGUCACAUACAUCAUCCAUCAUCACAUGGUGCUUUCUUGAGAACUGGGGUAAAUAAUCGGGCUGGGCUGCAGGGGGCGUGGCCGCUGUUAUACGACCCUACGCCAGAGUGUGUACAGCUUAACACCGUGGCCCACCAAAAUUAACCACCCAAAUAUUUACCCAUGUCAGCGAUAAGAAUUACGAUUCUGACUGGGAUCUUUUGCACGACUGAUACGGCAGAUCUUUCGCAUCGCAGCUUCUCCAGACUCGCACGACUGGACGCUGAAGUUAGAGUUUAUCUUCCGGCUAUAUGUAUUUAGAUCGCCUGGUUUUGUCGCCUGUCUCAUCGCAGUUUUCAGGAGGAUUGUGGCCACUCCGUUACGAUGGUUAAACUAAGGUCUUUUACAACAAAAUUUAACAAAGAGAUGUAAUCUUCUGUAAAUAAACUCACACUCGGUUACCUU